CAGUACAGAAAAUGCUAAUGCUAACUAUAAAACCAAGCACUAACAUUUCUGACAGGAUUUUAGACAGUUUAGUCUGACCUUUCACCUGCUCUUGUCCUCAAACUGACCAGCUGAAAAGAGAUGUGUUGAAUGGGUUCCAAAGCCGUAAUAAGGAAAACCGCCACUGAGAGAGAGAGAGAGAGAGAGAGAGAGAGAGAGAGAGAGAGAGAGAGAGAACGCUCUGAGGAGACCUGACUGAAAAGGGGGAGCAGAGGCAGGGGAGAGCCGAUCUGAGCCGUGGCCGGCAGGGAGCUGGCUCAGAGAGUGGGAAAAGCCUUCAU
Molecule: long non-coding RNA, 320 nt
Organism: Astyanax mexicanus (Mexican tetra)
Lineage: Eukaryota; Metazoa; Chordata; Actinopteri; Characiformes; Acestrorhamphidae
Exons: 3
Source: RefSeq, a predicted model, not a curated record